GUAUCAGAUUAGCUCCCGAGAGCCAGAAGCUGUUUGCCUUUCAGUGGGAAGAUCCGGAGUCAGGUAUCACUACUCAGUACACUUGGACCCGGCUUCCCCAAGGGUUCCAGAGCUCCCCCACCAUCUUCAGGGAGGCGUUGGCUACAGACCUCCAGAAGCUUCCCACCAGAGACCUAGGCUGCGUGUUGCUCCAGUACGUUGAUGACCUUUUGCUGAGACACCCCACGGCAGUCAGGUGCGCCAAGGGAACGGAUGCCCUACUCCAGCGCCUGGAGGACUGUGGGUAUAAGGUGUCCAAGAAAAAAGCUGAGAUCUGUCGACAGCAGGUACGUUACUUGGGAUUUACUAUCCGACACGGGGAAUGCAGCCUGGGAUCAGAAAGAAAGCAGGUCAUUUGCAAUCUACUGGAGCCUAAGAGCAGAAGGCAAGUGAGAGAAUUCUUAGGAGCUGUGGGGUUUUGUAGACUGUGGAUCCCAAACUUUGCAGUAUUAGCCAAGCCUUUGUAUGAGGUCACAAAGUGGGGGACCGGGAACCUUUUGAAUGGGGAUCUCAACAACAGCAAGCCUUUCAUGAGUUAAAGGAAAAAACUUAUGUCAGCCCCAGCCCUGGGGCUACCCGAUCUGACAAAGCCUUUUACAUUGUAUGUGUCAGAGAGAGAAAAGAUGGCAGUUGGAGUUUUCAUCCAAACUGUGGGGCCCUGGCCGAGGCCAGUGGCCUACCUCUCUAAACAACUAGAUGGGGUUCCUAAAGGAUGGCCCCUGUGUUUGAGGGCCUUGGCAGCAACUGCCCUGCUAGUACAAGAAGCAAAUAAGCUGACUCUUGGGCAAAACCUGAACAUAAAGGCUCCCCAUGCUGUGUUGACUUUAAUGAAUACUAAAGGACAUCAUUGGCUAACGAAUGCUAGACUCACCAAGUACCAAAGUUUGCUCUGUGAAAAUCUCCGUAUAACCAUUGAAGUUUGGAACACCCUAAACCCCACCACCUUGCUCCCAGUAUCAGAGAGCCCUGUCGGGCAUGAUUGUGUAGAAGUGUUUGACUCAGUUGACUCUAGUAGAUCUGACCUCCGGGACCAGCCUUGGGCAUCAGUAGACUGGGAACUACACGUGGACGGGAGCAGCUUCAUCAACCUACAAGGAGAGAGAUGUGCAGGGUAUGCAGUGGUAACCCUGUACACUGUUGUUGAAGCCAGAUCGUUGCCCCAGGGCACUUCAGCCCAGAAAGCUGAACCCAUUGCUUUAAUUUGGGCCUUAGAACUCCAUGAAGGUAAGACUGUAAACAUUGACACUGAUUCUCGGUAUGCCUUUUUAACCCUUCAAGUGCAUGGAGCAUUAUAGAAAGAAAACGGCCUAUGGAACUCUGGGGGAAAAGACAUAAAAUAUCAACAAGAAAUCUUGCAAUUAUUAGAAGCAGUAUGGAAACCCCACAAGGUGGCAGGUAUGCAUUGCAGAGGACAUCAGCGAGCUUCCACCUUGCUGGGUUUGGGGAAUUCCCGCGCUGACUCAGAGGCUCGAAAAGCAGCAUCUGCCCCCUUCCGGCAAUCAGUCACAGCCACUCUGCUCCCUCAAGCACCUGAUCUUGUACCUACUUAUUCUAAAGAAGAAAAGGACUUUCUCCAGGUAGAGGGAAGGACAAGUGAUGGAGGAAGGAUGGAUUCGGUUACCAGAUGGGAGAGUAGCUGUGCCACAGCUGCUAGGAGCUGCAGUUGUACUGGCUGUGCAUGAAACCACCCAUCUAGGUCAGAGUCACUGGAAAAGUUGUUAGGCUGGUAUUUCUACAUCUCGCAUUUGUCAGCCCUUGCCAAAACGGUGACACAGCGGUGUGUUACCUGCUGACAGCACAAUGCGAGGCAAGGUCCAGCCGUUCCGCCCGGCAUAAAAGCUUAUGGAGCAGCCCCCUUUGAAGAUCUCCAGGUAGACUUCACAGAGAUGCCAAAGUGUGGAGGUCAGAAGUAUUUACUAGUUCUUGGGUGUACCUGCUCUGGGUGGGUGGAGGCUUAUCCAACACGAACUAAGAAAGCUCGUGAAGUAACCCGUGUGUUUCUUCGAGAUCUGAUUCCUAGAUUUGGACUGCCCUUACGGAUCAGCUCAGAUAACGGGCCUGCGUUUGUGGCUGACUUGGUACAGAAGACGGCGAAGGUAUCGGGCAUCACAUGGAAACGGCAUGCCGCGUACCAGCCUCAGAGUUCCGGAAAGGUGGAGCGGAUGAAUCGGACUAUCAAAAAUAGUAUUAUUAUCUUUCCCACUGGAUAUUAAAAACAAUACCACAAGGGGCAUCAAACCACCUGCCAAAUUUGAGGGAAUGUUAUUCUGUCCUCCCCCCGCCCCCGGAUAUUAGAGACAAUAACAUAGGGGCUGUAGAUAAAGGGGUUGAGCAUGGAGGUGACCACCGUGUACAUCACUGCAGCCACUGCACCCUUUCUGGGGGAAGAUGACACAUCUGAACUGAGGUACCCUCCAACACCUCUUCCAUAAAAUCAGCAAACAACUGACAGAGAUCAUGCAGCGGGAGCCCACGAUCGGUUUAAUCAUCACUCACUUCCAUUGGAUCAACUACAAAUCAACUCAGAUGAGAGUGCUGAGUCUCAGAGGAUGGACAUCUCACCCCUUGCCAUACAGAUAAGUAGAAAGGAUGGUAUUCAAAAUUAAUGGCCAGACUCUAAGUCCCAGAUACUAUACUUCAUGGUCUUCCAACUCUCAAAAAGUUGUGGGAGUUUUUUUUUGUUUUUGUUUUUGUUUUUUUGAGACGGAGUCUCAUUCUGUUGCCCAGGCUGGAAGUGCAGUGGAGUGAUCUCAGCUCAUUGCAACCUCCGCAUCCCAGGUUCAAGCUAUUCUCCUGCCUCAGCCUGCUGAGCAGCUGAGAUUACAGGCGCCCGCCACUAUGCCCGACUAAUUUUUUUCUAUUUUUAGUAGAGACGGGGUUUCACCAUGUUGGCCAGGCUGGUCUCGAACACCUGAACUUGUGAUUCGCCUGCCUCAGCCUCCCAAAGUGCUGGGAUUACAGGCGUGAGCCACCGCGCCCAGCUUCAAAAAGUUUAAAGCAGAGCUCAGAGGUCUUAACCACAGGUACAUCUGAGGAGCAUUUUUGAAACAGUUUCCAGCUUCCUCAACAGGAAGAGAAGCCAAAUUCCGAAUUUAUGACUCCUUUGAGGAAGUCGAGAGCUGUAAGGAAAGCCAGGAACAGGGGCAAGGGAGAGAUGCAUCCCGAAUGAUCCUGUGCCAAUUCUUUCUGGAAUCUUUGAUGUGAUCUCAGCUGCCCUUUCUAUACUUGACACAGUGAUUGUGGCACCCACUGGUCUAGCUGUGGUCUACAAGGAACCCCCAAAAGGAAGGGCACAGUGAGCAGGGGCAUCGGCCUGAGUGACAAGGAUUUGAGAGGGCAGGUUGGAUGCAGGGAGAGGACUGGCCAAAUGCCAUGUGUCUGGACUUAGGCUGCCUGGUUCAAACUGGACUUCACCCUUUUUGACUUCAUGAUCUGGUACAAGUUAUAUGAAAAUGCAUUGCUCCUUUUCUAGUCUGUAAAAUAAUAAUGAAAUGUGCACUAAUAACUGGGAGACUACGCAGAGGAAAUGAAACAAGCUGCAUAGACCACAGAGCUCAGAGCCUGGCCUUUAGGAAGCCCUCAGUAAGGGUUCAUGAUGCCAUGGUGUCUGUCAUCAUCCUCUUUAUCCUCAUCAUCACCUUCAUAAUCUUUUUAUUGUUCUUAGAGAAUAGUUUAGAGGGACUCAUUCCCUGCUAUCAUGGGUGAGAUGUCUAUGAAAAGGACAACCAGUGGGGGAGGAAAGCAAAAUUUUGAAUAAGAUUUCUGAGACCGCCCCCCCCCGACCAUAACCAAGAACAGAAACUCCACAGUCUGCUGAGCCGACAGUUUGCACGUUGGUCUCCUCCCAUCUGCCCACCGCACUCUCCUGUUUUUUUCCUGAGGAUGAGGAUACAAAACAAGGCUCCCAACCGUCCCUCAGCACUCACUGAACUGCCCUUCCCCUCUGCUGGGCCAUGACCACGGAGAACAAGUCCACUGUCCUCCCUGCGUGGUGCACGAUGGAGGCUCAGACUCCAUCCUCAAGGCUGGCAAGAAGACAGGGUGAGACAUGAGCCUCCUGAUACAGGUGAUGGGUGUGGAGCCCACAGGACUGGAACCUCACACUGCAGGGCUGGAGGCACAGACUAUUUACUAUUCUAUGGCCUGGGGGGCUCAAGGCACAGAGCUCCUCAUUAGCCAAAGUCGCCCAAGUUCCCCAACCUUUAAGGAUUUCCUCAUAAUAAUGCAAGAAGAAGAAGAGAAAAGUGAGUGUCCAUAGAAGCUUUGGGGCUCUUCCUCUAAUCAGGAGAAAGCUGCAGAAGUUCAUCAGCUAACUUCUUGGGACCUAGCACCAUGUGAAGACGCUCAAGCUAGACUUUAAAAUGAGAGACCCAGAGGAGAGACAGAAGCUCCACUAAAUCCAAAGAACACCUAGACUGAUCAACAACAGAGGAAGCAAGGACAGCAAAGGGCGCUGCAGAGGCCAAGAGGUGAGAGCACAGCAGGAGGGAGGAGCAAUGAAUGGUCAGCCACAAGUGCAUUUGGAGGCCAAGCCAUAGCUUGACCAACAUCCCAG
RNAcentral lists this long non-coding RNA (4594 nucleotides) under Homo sapiens (human). Its description in RNAcentral is "non-protein coding lnc-KRT80-2:6". The record is from RNAcentral. Lineage: Eukaryota; Metazoa; Chordata; Mammalia; Primates; Hominidae.